RNAcentral lists this long non-coding RNA (659 nucleotides) under Homo sapiens (human). RNAcentral describes it as "long non-coding RNA NONHSAT223180". Lineage: Eukaryota; Metazoa; Chordata; Mammalia; Primates; Hominidae. The record is from RNAcentral.
GGGACUUAGCACAAAAACCAUCAUGGAUUCCAUCAAAGAGAUCAUUAAUGUCUCAAAACGUCUCCAAGGAUACAUGAUCUACAAAGGACCACAGAGUGCCCUGCAGAAUUGGGUUGAAAAACUAAAGAAGGCAAACAGAGUUUAUGGUAAGGUUCUGUGUUACUAGACUGCCCUUGAACCCAUAGCCAUGGAAUUUGUUCAAAUCCUACACACACUGUUUAAGGCAUUGUUUAAUUGGCAUCUUCUGUGUGAGGAAUCAUCAGUGCCAUGUACCACUUUAUGAUAACCUGGGACUCUGGCCCCAGACUCCAGUGUCCAGGCUAGCAGGGCUGGACCAUGUGAAGGACUUGUUUUGCAAGGACAGGAGGUAGCCAAGACCUGGAACCCAAAGAGGUUUCAUGAUGUUCUUGAACAUCUUCCUGGCAAGUCCAUAUUACAAAAUGGCAGAGCACAGGCUCAGAUUCAGACUGUGGAGCUAGCUCAUGCAUUGUCUAUGCAAGUGCUGACUUUCUCUGCCAUGGCGGAGCUUCCUAUGGCCAGGCCAGAUAAAGGUAUCAGCAUUUUAGCCUCAGCUGGUAGAGCCUCUUUUUCCUGGCUUUUGGUUUGCCAAGUCACUGUCCAAGUAUCUGAGUAGCAACAACACAUGGAGACCUAAGCAG